This 369-nucleotide long non-coding RNA is filed under the name Homo sapiens (human). RNAcentral describes it as "HSALNT0363506". Lineage: Eukaryota; Metazoa; Chordata; Mammalia; Primates; Hominidae. The record is from RNAcentral.
GCCUCCCAAGUCGCUGGGAUUACAGGUGCCUGCCACCAUGCCCAGUCCUUCUGACCCUCGUGGCUUCUCCUGCUCCAAGGCCAAGCUCGGGACCCUGUCAUCAUCCCCGGGGACAGGCCCCAUCUUAGAGAGGAUCCACCCAGCUCCCCGCUCCUGAGCCAUCUUCCAGCUAUCCCGCCUCGAGACUCCCACCGCACCUGCUCCUGGGCUGCAGCUGCACCCAACAAGUCAACAUGUGGAUUGCUUCUAGAAUUUGGAUAUUAUGAACACUGCUGUGCUGAACAUUCUUGUACACUUAUAUGGUUUGGCUGUGUCCCCACCCAAAUCUCAUCUUGAAUUGUAGCUCCCAUAAUUCCUAUGUGUCGUGGG